Molecule: long non-coding RNA, 508 nt
Organism: Cannabis sativa
Lineage: Eukaryota; Viridiplantae; Streptophyta; Magnoliopsida; Rosales; Cannabaceae
Exons: 2
Source: RefSeq, a predicted model, not a curated record
UAAGAUUUUCAAGGUAAAAAAAGUGUAAGAGUCAAUAUUAGAUUAUAUUAACAGCUCACAUAUUCCUAUUUUCUAAUAUUAUAUUAUAUUUAAUUCUUUCUCCUAAUAUUUUGAAGGUGAAUAUAUUAAUCCUCUUUUGAUAUUUCUGGAAGUUUCCUUUUAAAUAUUUAUCUCUUCCUCUUCUUCUCUCUCUCAGUUUCUCUGCAAUUACUGUGUAUAGUUGGGAAAUGAUGAAGACAACAAAUAACAACGUCCAUUAGAUCAAUGACAAGAGAAGGCUUGCGAUGGCAGCAACCACCACCAGCACCACCGAAUUCAUCACGGCGGUCAAUAUUGUCGACAUGCAGACCUCCACCAGGCAUGUUCUAAUUCUGUUUUGGUGGAUUUGUAUUACAAAAUUCUCUCAUACCUUUAAAGGUUAAUUCUUUGAAUUGUAAAAUAUAUUUACAGUAACUGAUGUUCUUGUUUUAUUUCAAUUAUUGGUAAAGAUUUCAAAUUUUUGUUUUAA